UCCGGGUUGGUCCCGGCGGUCCCGCCAGACUUCGUAACUGGCAGCAGGGGUUGCGCUCGUUGCGGGACUUAACCCAACACCUCACGGCACGAGCUGACGACAGCCGUGCAGCACCUGUGCGCGCUCCCUCGCGGGUCCCUCACCUUUCGGCUCGGUACCACGCGCAUGUCAAGCCUGGGUAAGGUUCUUCGCGUCGCGUCGAAUUAAACAACAUGCUCCGCUGCUUGUGCGGGUCCCCGUCAAUUCCUUUGAGUUUUAGCCUUGCGGCCGUACUCCCCAGGCGGGGUGCUUAAUGCGUUAGCUUCGGCACGGACAGAAUGAACUGCCCACACCAAAUAUGCAUCGUUUAGGGCGUGGACUAC
RNAcentral lists this unclassified non-coding RNA (362 nucleotides) under uncultured bacterium. RNAcentral's name for it is "contains 16S-23S intergenic spacer region". The record is from RNAcentral.